Molecule: ribosomal RNA, 352 nt
Filed under: uncultured bacterium
Lineage: Bacteria
Description: bacterial SSU rRNA
Rfam family: Bacterial small subunit ribosomal RNA
Source: RNAcentral
GAUGAACGCUAGCGGCAGGCCUAAUACAUGCAAGCCGGACGGCAAGUUGAGUAGCAAUACUUGACCUAGAGUGGCGUAAGGGUGCGUAACACGUAUGCAAUCUGCCCACAGCCGGGAGAUAGCCCUCCGAAAGGAGGAUUAAUAUCCCAUAGGAAGAUGAGAUGGCAUCAUUUUAUUUUUAAACUACGGGGCUGUGGAUGAGCAUGCGGUUGAUUAGCUAGUUGGCGGGGUAAAGGCCCACCAAGGCGAUGAUCAAUAGGGGACCUGAGAGGGUGAUCCCCCACACUGGCACUGAGAUACGGGCCAGACUCCUACGGGAGGCAGCAGUAGGGAAUAGUUGGACAAUGGGUGU